This 490-nucleotide ribosomal RNA is filed under the name uncultured bacterium. RNAcentral describes it as "partial 16S ribosomal RNA". It matches the Rfam family "Bacterial small subunit ribosomal RNA", at positions 30 to 507 of the family's 1533-position model. The record is from RNAcentral.
AUUAAACGCUGGCGGCAGGCCUAACACAUGCAAGUCGAACGGUAACAGGAAGCAGCUUGCUGCUUCGCUGACGAGUGGCGGACGGGUGAGUAAUGUCUGGGAAACUGCCUGAUGGAGGGGGAUAACUACUGGAAACGGUAGCUAAUACCGCAUAACGUCGCAAGACCAAAGAGGGGGACCUUAGGGCCUCUUGCCAUCGGAUGUGCCCAGAUGGGAUUAGCUAGUAGGUGGGGUAACGGCUCACCUAGGCGACGAUCCCUAGCUGGUCUGAGAGGAUGACCAGCCACACUGGAACUGAGACACGGUCCAGACUCCUACGGGAGGCAGCAGUGGGGAAUAUUGCACAAUGGGCGCAAGCCUGAUGCAGCCAUGCCGCGCGUAUGAAGAAGGCCUUCGGGUUGUAAAGUACUUUCAGCGGGGAGGAAGGGAGUAAAGUUAAUACCUUUGCUCAUUGACGUUACCCGCAGAAGAAGCACCGGCUAACUCCGUG